RNAcentral lists this unclassified non-coding RNA (5230 nucleotides) under Amphibalanus amphitrite. RNAcentral describes it as "uncharacterized LOC122381831, transcript variant X2". The record is from RNAcentral. Lineage: Eukaryota; Metazoa; Arthropoda; Thecostraca; Balanomorpha; Balanidae.
AGUGUGGGACGGACGGUGAACGGAUGGGGACCGCGGUCGGACGGUGACGGUGGAAUGUGGAUAGUGUGGACAAACAGUGUGGACAGAGGACAGAGAGGUCAGUGGUGAGGACUGAGGAGAGAUUCAGUCAGGAGUGUGAGGGACUCGGUCUGAGCGAGUGUGUGAUGAGCCGAAUCGGUAACUUUUAUCAGUAACUGACUUUAGCUAUGGGGGCGGUGAUUAAUUUAUUCAGACGUAAUUCGACCCCGCUUCAUAACCGUGGCUAUAUGUGAGCUCUGUAGAGACGUGUUAAAAACGGAGCGAUCCGCACCAUGGGCUCUCUGAGAAAGAUGUUCAAGACCCGUCUGCCGGCCCUAGCGACUCUGUGGUCGGCUAGCGGUGGGCCUGGCGGUGCUGAAGAGGACGACGACCCUGGUGAUGCUGCCGAGCUGCAUUCUGUGACAACACACUCUCCAACCACUGAAGGAAUCGAGCCGACCUACGGCAGGGCCGGCAAGCAGCCGGACAUGACGUACGAGCUGAUGCGGGAGUGCCCAGAGAUCAUUGAGGAGGUUGUGGAGAGGCGCUACAACACGGGCACCAUAGUCCGGCCGCAUCUCCGGCACGGUCUUCGGCGUCUCUCUGUGCAGGAUGUGUUUGAAGAAGGCAGCCUAGACGCAAGACACGCUGACGCUGAGUCUAUAGAACUCGGUGGAGGAGCAGACACAGCAGGAGUGGGCGGUGAUGAGGGCCGCGAUCACACCGGAGAGUCGACCAGCGACAGCGGCCUGUCCUCCGGAAAGGGCAGUGACGCUGGCGACACGUACGCCGUCCCCAAGAGUGAGACGUACGAGGUUCCGCGUGCCGCCGUGACCCAGGAGGCUGGAGCCGAGGACCCUGGUAGUGGCUCCGAGGACCGACCGAACGGAGCAGAGACCGAAAACUGGUCCUGCGACAGUGUCGGUGAGCCUUCCUCAGACAGUGACGGCGCGAACGGUGGAGCGGAGCUGGACGGGUGUUAUGUGGAGUGUCUCCGGGACCCGCCCGAUGAAAACGUCUACCUGGAGCCCAAGACAGUGGAGGAGAUUGAGCGGGACAGGCAAAAUCUGCUGAAUGGAGGGACAUCACAGGUGGCUGAGGGCAGCCCAGCCUAUCCAGGGGGUGUAGGACAGCCAUUCUUUCUGCAUCAGCCCGAGACGUCUGGAGGGGAGACCUAUUCUGGUAGACUCAGCGCAUUGCCGCACAAGGCACGCAGUCUUCAAAACCUCCAACAAUGCUUCAUCCAGGUCCAUAACACCGAAGCAUUAGCAGUCCCCAGCACAGACCGCAAAACGCACACAAGAUCGAAACCGAAUAAGAAACUAGACCGCUCUUCGAAGAGCCCUGUCGCAGCAAUAAACCAAUCAAUCAACGACAAUUUCGUACUAAGGCCGUCGAAGCAGUUCGAGACAUAUGGCCAUGGCAUGCGCUCUUCACUGUCGUUCCGUUCGUCGUUAUAUAGCACUGCGGCUGCGUGGGACGCCGACAGACAGCCCUGGGACGGCUAUAGCGAGCUGACGUGCCCGCCGCCGGCGCUGGAGGACCGUACUGAGGACGAGCCCCUGCCCAGCUCACGCGGCAGUACCCUGGAGCGGGGGUACGAGCGGCUGCCGCUGCGCCGGCACAGCGCCGAGCUGCAGCCGUCAGAGCCGCUGUACGCCAACAGCGGAGAGCUGCAGAAGCUGCUGGUCCAGCAGCUGCGUGAGCAGCAGCUCCGUGAGCAGACGAACCCCUCCGAGCCGCCCGACCAGCCGGACGGGCCCGCCCCGGGGAUGGCGCACAUAGCGCCGCGGGGAAAGAGACGGCGACGGGGGCGGAUCACAGCGCCUGUGGAUGCCGGUCAGGCUCUGGAAACGCACCCCGAGCACACCGAGACGCCGUCGUCACCUGCCGAGGCUCUGCUGGCGCUCAGAACCAAGGACUCCAAGUUCGCGUGUGUUCGCAUCAAGCCGGCCACCAGAGGUCGGGGCACGAUGCGUAAGUCGAGUUCCAUGAACGACAUCGGCCCGGUGCUGUUUACUCCGCCACCAUCGGCACCGGUUCUCCCUUCAGUCCACACCCGUCUGCCGUCAGCAGCUGAGAGCAGCGACCAGCAGCCGCCGGAGGAGACGCCCGCUGCUCCGGCCUCCCCUGUGUCAGCGGCGCCCCUGUGGCUGACCCUGGGCGCCCUCUGGGUGACCGUCUGCGGCUGGGCGGGCGCCGCCGGACGGGCGCUGGGCAGGGCGGCGGCGCCCCUCUCCGGCUGGUUGGGCGUCAAGUACAUGAGCCUGCACCGGAACCAUCCGUGGCUGCCAGACCUGGUGGACCAGCCGGACCUGGACUAUUGGAUACAGCGCACCAAACAGGGCAGUAACGGUUUCGAAGAGCUCCGGAAAUACAUCAAACAUGGUGGCGACUUUUGCAAGGAGCUUGCAUCUAUCUUGCAAGAAAGGUCCGACCUGGAGGUCGCCUACGCUCGCGGCCUGCAGAAGCUGGCUGCUAAGCUGCUCAAGGCCUCCAGAGACGGUUUGGGCAGCGUGAACCAGGCCUGGCAGCGAGUCGGAACGGAGAUGGAACACCAGGCAGACAUCCACAAAACGCUGGCGGUCACCUACACCGAGGAGCUGGUAAAGCCUCUGCGCGGGCUGCUGGAAUCCCAGCACAAGGCGCGCAGGACCGUGGAGACGAAUGUCGACAAGACGGCAAAAAACCUGGCUGAGUGGCGCUCGGCGGAGGCCAAGGCCAAGAAGCUCUCCUACCAAUGUGCGCGGGAGAACGAGCGAGCCGAGGAGCAGGCGCUGGAGGCGAGACUGGCGCACGACAGCGCCAGAAAGGACGCCGGAAAGGUCGAGAGUCGGAGGCAGAAAACCGAGAACGCCCUGGCCAAGGCGGACACCGAGUACUACAACUUCUGCUUACGAAGUGAACGAGCGCGGCUGGAGUGGGAGACAGCCCUGAACAAGGGCAGUCAGUGUUUCCAGCGUCUGGAAGAGGAGCGACUAACCAGACUCCGGGCGGCGCUACAGGCUUACCACCAGAGCCUGGCGGAGCUGGCACCGAAAAUAGCGCAGAGCGCCAGCCGUCUCUCGGAGCCCGUGUCGGGGGCGGACGUCUCCCAGGACGUGCAGACGGUGCUCCAGGUGAAGCGGCCCGACCAGCCGGCCGAGCAGCUGCUGCCCGACUUCUACGCCGAGGAUAUGACCAACGCCAUGAAUAGAGAUAGGAGGAAAAAGGCUCUGGAGCAGUUUGCGCGCCUUCUGGAGCAGGAUGUCGGCCGGGAACGGAGGGGGAAGAGUGGUGUGGAGAACCUGGCCAAGGCCAUGAAGGAGUCGCCCCAGUUCAGCACCGAGAGCUCCCAGAAGGACGUCAAGGAGAAGCUGCAGCACUUGCGCUCCACGCUGGCGUACCUGGAGGCCAGUCGGUUCAAAGUGCAGGCGGCGCUGGCAGAGACGGAGGGACAGCCCCGACCUCAGCAUCCGCUCAGCCGGCACAUUCAGCAGCUCAAGGACCGGCAGGGCAUGGUCCAGAGCGUCCUACGGGUGCCGAACUGGGUGAGCCUGGAGCCUUCCAACACCUCUCCGGACCAGUCUCCCGCGUGGAGCGCUGACCGUGACCGGGGCACGGCCGACGGGACCUCCCAGAGGCCGCCAUCAGACUCGGAUGAGCUGAGCACAGAAGACAGUCCGCCUGAAUCCACACCUGUAUCGGCUGUGACGUCACCGCCAACAGCUGAGCCGACCUGUGACCCGGUCAAAGACCCGCCCGAGGGGGCGCCAUGCCGAGACCGGUACCAGGCCAUUUACGACUACAAGGCUAACAUGAAUGACGAACUCACUAUCCGAGCAGGUGACGUCAUCGAGGUCCAUGACCGCCAGCCGGACGGCUGGUGGCUUGGGGAACUGCGAGGCACCAUCGGCAUCUUCCCGGCCACCUACGUCCGGCAACUCAUCUGAACUACCGGCAACUCGGCUGAACGACCGGCAACUCGGCUGAACGACCGGCAAUUCGUCUGACCGACUGACAGCUCAUCUGGACGACCGGCAACUCAGCUGACUGAACGACAGCUCAUCUUAUCGACCGAUAGCUCGUAUGACUGACUGACAACUGACAGGUCGGUUACGCAGAUGAUCAUAUAGGUGACCAGAUCGACAGUUUUCUGAUAGGAUCGACCGUUGAUCUGUUGGGAACGACGGUUUAGCUUACCGCUCCAACCAGUUCUGUAGAUUGAACUUGCAGUUCAGCCGAUCGAGUUUAGCUAGUUGGACAUCAUCUGACCGAACUGGUAACUCAUCUGACUGAGCUACAACUCAGCUGACUCGACCUCAACUCAUCUGACCGAGCCGACAACUCAUCUGACCGACCCGACAGCUCAUUUGACCGAACAACUAGCUCAGAGAGGUUACGAGCCAAAUGUUUGAUUUAAUCGUACGAGCAGUGCCGUUUCUCGUUGUGACUGAGCACAUCAGUGCGCCAACUGACUUAAAAGAGAAAUGGUUUCUGUUGUUUGUUUGGAAAUGUGAUCUGCUUUAUUCUACCACUUUAGAAUAUAGGUUGAUCAGACAAAAAUGGUGCAGGCUUUAUUGAGACUUGUUUACACGAGCAGAUCAAAGACCUGAAAAAGUAAGUGAACAAAAUGUUGAGAUGGCUGAAUCUUUUGUAAAUUAUAUUUUUCGUGAGCCCUCGUGUCUUGCUGUUUACGUGCCACUUUGUUGUGCUUUAGUAGCUUUUCUGCAUGCAUAGUAGAUCAAAGUAAAAUGCAUCGUUCAUGUGCUCUCUUGUAAUGUUGUACAGCAUUGCAGUGAUAAGACAGGGACCAAGUGGAAUUGAUUGGUGAAGCGCUUCGCCAUGCAAUAAGUCGACAGUGCCGAGCCUCGAUGAGUGACAUACGAGGUUGUGUAUAAAUAAUGUCAGACUACAUACAUGCUGACAAGUCUGAAUAAAUGGUUCAAUCUAUGACAUGCAUAAUUAUAUGGUGAAAUGAGGUAAGCUCAUCAAACUGCGAUUGAAAGAUUAGAAAUGCGUAGCGCUUAUAGGGAAUGUCGUUUGAUCUAAUUCAUCAUUAAUUUCGACGUUUGAUCCGCUCAAUGAGAGCGAAUUGUUUAUUUUCCCUAAAUAUUUGUUUUUUGCUGGUGUGAUGGAUAUUAACAUCGAAUGACGUCCUAUGAAUGCGGUGUCCUGAUAUCAGGUUUUGUAAAUAGCAAAAUAUAGCUACAAAUACAAAGAUGUGUUGCGA